UACCAGAAUGUUGAGGUCUAGUUCAGGGAUGCUUCUCUGUUUCGGUUACUAAACUUUCGGACAUUAGAAAUGAACUGAGGUAUAUGAUUGGGUAUAUGGUAUUUCUCUAUUCAUUUUCUCCUAGACUACAAAA
This is a small nucleolar RNA of Sorex araneus (European shrew), 133 nucleotides long. NCBI's taxonomy places the organism in Eukaryota, Metazoa, Chordata, Mammalia, Eulipotyphla, Soricidae. The record is from Ensembl.